CAUUACGGUGGCGUCCCUCGGAGCCGCGCGGCAGCUGCAGAGGUGAUCUGAAGCAUGGAGAAGAUACCUGUCCUGGGCCUGGGCACCUGGAAGGUGGCCCCAGGGGAAGUGACGGAGGCGGUCAAAGUGGUGAUAGACGCGGGCUUGUACCACAACGAGAAUGAGGUUGGAGUGGGGAUCCAGUGCAAGGUCAAGGAGGGCAUGGUGAGGCGGAAGGACCUGUUUAUUGUCAGCAAGAUCGAGUGCCACCCAUACCUGACUCAGAAGAACCUGAUCAGUUUUUGCCAAUGGAGAAAUGUGUCCAUGACUGCUUACCGGCCCCUCGGGGGCUCCAGUGAGGGGGGUGCACCUGAUGGAAGACCCUGUGAUCCAGAUGAUCUUUCAGCAGCACAAGAAGUCUGCAGCUCAGAGUUUGAUCCGAUUUCAGAUCCAGAGGAAUGUGAUAGUGAUUCCCAAAUCCGUCAACCCAAAGCGGAUUCUUGAGAAUAUCCAAGAAAGCGUUUCCUCCUUUUGAAUCGGCAUCGGAGGGUUUGUCAUCACCUGCUAGCUUGGGGCAGGAGGUGUGCUGACCGCCGGAGCCAGCAUCCCCGUCCCCUGCGGCUUUGACACCAGGGGCAGGAUGAGGCCUCAGGUGUUUGAUUUUGAAUUAUCAGAACAGGAUAUGACUGACCUCCUCCACCCGGACAGGAAUCUCCAUUUGUCUACAUUCCCCAUAACUGAAAACCACAAGGACUAUCCCUUCAAAGCAGAGUACUGAGGCCCUCCUUGGCCGGGACAAAUCCUCGCCGAGGCACAGGCAGCUCUGGUCAGGGAUGCUGGGACACAGUUGGAUUUGGGUGA
Balaenoptera musculus (blue whale) is the source of this 840-nucleotide RNA transcript. It is a transcript of the gene named aldo-keto reductase family 1 member B1-like, with no coding region annotated. The record is from RefSeq and is a predicted model, not a curated record. NCBI's taxonomy places the organism in Eukaryota, Metazoa, Chordata, Mammalia, Artiodactyla, Balaenopteridae. The transcript is spliced from 7 exons.